Long non-coding RNA from Bubalus bubalis (water buffalo), 610 nucleotides. RefSeq lists it as uncharacterized. The transcript has 2 exons. The record is from RefSeq and is a predicted model, not a curated record. Lineage: Eukaryota; Metazoa; Chordata; Mammalia; Artiodactyla; Bovidae.
AAAAAGAGGAGUGAAUUUCAUCUGGUAGGAAUGGUUUGGGUGUGGUUCCGCCCGAAGAGAGGAAAGGAUCUAAGUGGGUUGUUUUAUGGGCAUAUUUAAAAGCCAGAACUAGGAGAUAGCCAGGGCCCAACACUGCCUCUGCAGGAGAGUGGGGCUGUCAUCAGCAGCUGGGAAAACUGCUGUGGUGACAUACUCAAGAGUAUCACCGAAAACCUCCCUCUACAGACAUACCCAGGAACUACCUGGACAACAUCCUUCAUCCAGAAUUCUUGUACCCCUCCCUCCCAAUCAGGGGUACCCUUGCCUUCCCCCACAGCCCUAUUCCCUGCUUUUUUAAAAAAUAUUUUUUCAAUGUGGAAUUUUUUUAAGUUUUUAUUGACUUUUUUUUUUUUUUACAACAUUGCUUCUGUUUUAUGUUUUGGUUUUUUGGCAGAGAAGCAUGUGCGAUCAUAGCUCCGCAACCAGGGAUCGAACUUGUGCCCCCAGCAGUGGAAACACAGUCUUAACCACCCGACUGCCACCAAAGUCCCAGCAAACAUAUUUUAACUGUUUUCAUUACCCUCCUACUUAUAUCUCUUUUAAGAAUAAAAUUAUAUAGUGCAAAACUAGA